GUCGGGUGUGGUGGUACAUGCCUGUAGUCCCAGCUACUCUGGAGGCUAAGGCAGGAGGAUCGCUUGAGCCCAGGAGUUCUGGGCUGUAGUGUGCUAUGCUCAUUGGGUUUCCGUGUUAAGUUCAGCAUCAGUAUGGUGACUUUCUGGGAGCAGGAGACCACCAGGUUGCCUAAGGAAGGGUUAACCAGCCCAGGUUAGAAAUGGAGCAGGUCAAAACUCCCAUGGUGAUUAGUAGUGGGAUUGUGCCUGUGAAUAGCCACUGCACUCCAGCCUGGGCAACAUAGUGAGAUCCUAUCUCUA
Molecule: unclassified non-coding RNA, 300 nt
Organism: Callithrix jacchus (white-tufted-ear marmoset)
Lineage: Eukaryota; Metazoa; Chordata; Mammalia; Primates; Cebidae
Rfam family: Metazoan signal recognition particle RNA
About the family: The signal recognition particle (SRP) is a universally conserved ribonucleoprotein. It is involved in the co-translational targeting of proteins to membranes. The eukaryotic SRP consists of a 300-nucleotide 7S RNA and six proteins: SRPs 72, 68, 54, 19, 14, and 9.
Source: Ensembl